Molecule: non-coding RNA, 25 nt
Filed under: Cricetulus griseus (Chinese hamster)
Lineage: Eukaryota; Metazoa; Chordata; Mammalia; Rodentia; Cricetidae
Source: RNAcentral
AAGUAGCUCGUAAGGCCUCUGCAGA